AGUUGCUAAAAAUUAAAUUACAACAAGACAUGUAAUGGAUUAAUAGUGUACGAUAAUUAAAAAGAGUGUCAUUUUUUAUAAAUUACGAAAAAGUUACUUAUAUCUGAACUAAGAAAUGUCAUAAAUAUCACAAAACGGAAGCAGAAGAAAUAAAAUUGAAAGAGAGAAUGAGAAAGAGUAAUAUUUCAAACGUGAAGAUAGAGAAAUGAACAUUUUUUUGCUCAUUGGCAGUUGGAAGAUAAUGGUGUUAAAUCAUGUAUCUGCUCUGCAUGCAUACAACUUUCCCCUGAAGCAAAUAAGAAGAGAAACCUUUGUUUGAGUUAAUGAAUUAAAAACUAUUUGAAAGUGGUCUGUAGAACAGUAUAAAUCAGAGAGAUGACAACCGAAGUUACAUAGUCACAACCUUUCGAAAACUUAAAAGAAUUAUUCGAUAACGUGGGUAAUUUGAAACCAUGGCCCGAAAUUGAAUAACUAGGAGAUUCAACUGAUUAUGUGUACAGUGGUUUAGAAAUAAGCGCAGAAAGAACGCAGUUAGAAAAAUUGGAUAGAGAAGUACAUCCGAAAACGUUGCUUUGUCAUGAUAUGAAAGGUGGCUGCCUAGAAGACAGAUUUAUAUACGGAUCAGAAUCUUAUGAUUCUUACCUAUUUUAUCACUGGAGUAUUAUUGACACGUUUGCGUAUUUUAGUCAUCAUUUCAUAACUGUGCCACCUUUUGGAUGGAUUAAUGUAGCACAUAAUCAUGGUGUAAAAGUUCUUGGUACUGUAAUUACAGAAAGAGAAGGUAUCUGGGAUGUAAUACUUGAAUCUCAGGAAGAAGUAAGAAGAUUUGUAGAUGCACUAAUACUUGUUGCAAAAUUUUAUAAGUUUGAUGGCUGGUUAUUGAAUAUAGAAAAUACCAUUAAAAGCGAGCAAGUUCAUAAUUUAAUUUAUUUUGUAAAAUAUCUAACAGAAAAUAUUCAUGAAGCAAUUAGAAACUCUGAAAUUAUAUGGUACCGUAGCGUAUCCAAUGAAGGAAAAUUAAAUUGGCAAAAUGAGUUUAAUAGUAAAAACAUAAUUAACAGGAUAUUAUUAUGGAUUCGACAAGGUCUACGCUGUUAAAACAAAACUCCUUAUUCAAUUAUCAGAAAAAGAAAUCCACAUCAAAUACAGGCGAACAUCGGAAGAGACUUGAAAAUCACUGUGAUGGACGAUCCUCACAACUAAUACUACGAUAUAUUUUACACGGUAUUUACUACAAGCAAUUUAAACUACACCGCAACUAUUUAAGAACCAAGCAAGAAUAUCUGCGGCGUAUGCCCUGCUUUUUCCAACUUUACCUCUCAAGAGCUGUCCAAGCACCACCAACUACCGACCCUUACUUUGAAUAAUUUCAGUGAAAGGUUCCACUCAAACAAAACUGAUGUUGCUAUCAGAAAAAUAAAUCAAUUUUAGAUACAGGCGAACAUCACAGGAGAUUCGAAAAUCUCUGUGAUCCACGAUCCGCACUACUAAUACUACGGUAUCUUUUAUAUGGUAUAUAUACACGGCAUUUACUGCUCGUAGUUUAAACCAGACAGCAAUUAUUCUGGAACGAAGCAAGAAUAUCUGCGGGAUAAAAGUGAGGUUUUUGAAGAAGUAGAAGGACUAUUAUAUGGACCAGGAAUAACUGAUUAGCAGAUUAUCAACUUAGUCAAGAAUUACGAAGUGAACCUUUCCCGCCGAUUGAAGACUGCAGCGUAGGUAGGUAAGCAAGGUAAGCAUCCGUACGAGAUCACCUUGGUCGCGAAGAACGGACUGAUUGGGAUCAGAAUGAACAACGUGUAUUGCAUUGGGAUUGACAAGGAAAUAUGUUGGUGGGAAAAUACCAAAGGUACUCGACGAAGGAAGCCGACAUGGAGAAUUUUAUUUUGAAGUUUGACCGGAAUUUUGAUAAUUUAUUUAAGGAUCCAUGUGGGGCCUUAUAUGGCUAUUAUGUCCAGAAUAACCCGCGAGAGUCCGAACAGACGGUCUCCACGUGGAAAUCCAAAUAAAGCGGUUGGCGUGGAAGCUAUACCAGGGACGGCUGUCAAGGUGGAGAAAAGAACGGAUAUGGUGCUAAGAGUGUUAAACGCGGUACACAACAAUGGGAAGAUAUCGCCGAAGUGGAAGGUGGCGAGGUACUCAUUCCGAAACCGGGUAGAAACCCCGCACUUAUAUCGUCUUUCCGACCGAUCAGCAUGCUUCUAGCACUUAGUCAAGGCUGGGAGCACACGUUUAAGAAGCUGAUCGAGGAAAGUUUGGAUCUAGACCCUUUCCACGAGAAUCAGUACAGUUUCAGAAGGAGGAGGAGUACGCUAGACGCCUUGCAUCGAGUGAUGGAGUUGACCGAAAGCUGCAGAAAGAGAACAGGAUUUGUGUACUCACAGCAGUGAAUAUAAAGAACGCGUUUACCACUCUUAGUUGGAAUAAGAUCCUACUAGAUGUAGAAGCAAAAGGGAUGCCCCUAAAACUUUUGACGUUCCUCGACAAUUAUCUUGAGAAUAGGAAGAUCGUAGUGCAGAACACUGGGGGGACGGUGAAGAGAAAUGUCUUGGCGGGUGUCACUCAAUGAUCGAUACUUACAUUUAUUGGCAAAUACAGGAAUAAAAUACUCGAUCCAAUUGUAAAAUCUGCUUCCUGACGCUCACUUUAUUAUGGGAAGAAAAGAGAAGAAACUCCAGAACAUAAAAGAUGGAUAGAGUGAAUUGUUUAUGAAUGUUCUGUCAACCACGAGAGAAAAGUGUAGGAAAAAUGUGGGUAAACGCCGUGACUAAAAUGUUUUUGCAUUCAGAAAAAUUACAUGGCGCGAAUUACGUGAAUCAUAUCGAUACAAAGGCAUUUAAAAUAUUAAGCGCGAGGCUGAUUUUGAUAUGCUUUCUGUUGAAACGGCGUGCAGACGCAGUCGCGAUCACUCGGCAAGUGUGAGUUAGAGUAUAAGCAGACGAUGAUACACACAUCGCGGUGAUGAUUUAGUUUCAUUUUAUACAAAUUAUAAACGAAAAAUGACGAGAUGGGUGGAGAUGGAACUCAUUUCAAGUAUGAAAAUGAAGCUAAGAGAGCAAUGAAGUUGUUUAUCAAAAGUUUACCAGAAGUAUCCAGCAGAAUUCUUUGCUGAUGGAAUAAAGAAACUUAUCACGCGUUGCCAAAUAUAAAUUGAUGCAAAUGGCAAUUAUGUCGAAAAAUAAUUAAGAUAUUUUAUAAGUAAUGAAUUGAAUUUUCAUUUCUUUUCUGUUUCAUUUCAGUUCACGUUAAAAACGAAACUGCGCCUUCGUAUCUCGCAAAAUAAAAUGAAAAUGAAUAGUUCGUGUUGUUCGAUGAUUCCGUUAAACGAAAUAAUGUUAACAUCCAUAUAUCUUUCGUGCGUUCAUGUCUACAAAAAGCUAACUACAUACAUUAAAGGAAGGGGUUUAAAACAGGCGGAUUGUUUGGCUACAUUCUUAUACUACGAUAUAAAUAUACAUAACAAUAAGAUAGUUAAUAACUAUAUUAAAACAAUAUAUAUGAACAAUAUAUACAUACGUUCACCGCGGAAAGUAUGCUGACAUCCUACAAUAUGACCUGUUUAAAUCGGUUCUUAGUUGUUAUUAUUAUUCUUUUCUAUCUACCAAAUCUACCAAUCGGUCAAAACUCGUGCUUUGUAAACAACAGUGGUGUAACCGAUAUCGUAACGUUUCAUAUCAUAUAAAAAAGUAUUAUCCUAUUUAUGUCGAAAAACUGUAAAUUUAGAUUAUUUCGUACGUUUAAUUUGUCGUAUGAAAGGUAAACAUAGGACACGAAGCGGUAUUAUGUUUACGUUGAAACAAACGAAAGACAAGGACAACGUAAGCACAAGAGAACCGUUUCGCGCCCUUACCUGGCUUUCUUUCUUAAUAGUUCUUUUUAAUUUUCGCAUAAGAAAUACAAACAUAGAUCGAUGUAUGUAUUUAAAAAAAAAAAAAAAAAAAAUGGCUCCAUUUGCAAAAAUAAAGUUGAAAUGGAACUGUUACGGCGCGCUAGACGGUCAGUGCGACGUACCUUUCGGUCUGACCGCCGACGCCUAUCUCUCAUCAAACUGACCUGCAGUAACCUAAGGAACCACCAUAAACCGAAUCUUUUCAACUUACUUUCGAUUCAUACAAAUAUUAUUCGGUUUAUGGAUGGUCAUUUGAACAGUCAUUAGGUUUAUUGCACUCUCUUGUUAAUUACGGGGAAAGCAGAUGUGUCCCGUUAAAUGGCGGGUUUUUCCCAAGAACAAGGACACCCAUGAGCCAAAUAUGCAGGAGACUUUCUCCUCGCAUUAUGUGUAUUAAUAUUGGCCAAAAACCAAUGGGCAUCGCGGAUCGUUACCCUCACUAUUCUACCUAAAGGUGUGAACAACGAAUCCGCGUCCUUAGUUCAGCAAGGGUACACCCACACCGAGCUUUCCUCCUAAACAAGACGAGAUGGGUCAGUCACUGUUCUACUGGUCCUCAGACAGUCAAGUCUCUGCUCUUCUACUAAGCAGACAGUCAAGUUUCUGCUCUUCUACUAAGCAGACAGUCAAGUUUCUGCUCUUCUACUAAGCAGACAGUCAAGUCUCUGCUCUUCUACUAAGCAGACAAUCAAGUCUCUGCUCUUCUACUAAGCAGACAGUCAAGUAAACUGUUCUACUGCUCCUUAGACAGUCAAGUCUCUGCUCUUCUACUAAGCAGACAGUCAAGUCUCUGCUCUUCUACUAAGCAGUCAGUCACUCACUGCUCUUCUACUAAGCAGUCAAUCAAGUCACUGUUAUUCUACCAAGCAGACAGUCAAGUCUCUGCUCAUCUUUCGGCAAGCUAGUCUAAUAGUUUCACACGAUAUCGGGAUUCAUCGCGUUAACCGGUAUCCAUUACAACAUAUUUCUAUAUA
This is a long non-coding RNA of Bombus pascuorum, 4863 nucleotides long. RefSeq lists it as uncharacterized. Lineage: Eukaryota; Metazoa; Arthropoda; Insecta; Hymenoptera; Apidae. The transcript is spliced from 6 exons. The record is from RefSeq and is a predicted model, not a curated record.